This 331-nucleotide unclassified non-coding RNA is filed under the name soil metagenome. RNAcentral describes it as "partial contains 5.8S ribosomal RNA, internal transcribed spacer 2, and large subunit ribosomal RNA". The stretch from base 1 to 120 matches the Rfam family "5.8S ribosomal RNA", at positions 35 to 154 of the family's 154-position model. The record is from RNAcentral.
GAUGAAGAACGCCGCGAAAUGCGAUAAGUAAUGUGAAUUGCAGAAUUCAGUGAAUCAUCGAAUCUUUGAACGCACAUUGCGCCCCCUGGUAUUCCGGGGGGCAUGCCUGUUCGAGCGUCAUUUCACCACUCAAGCCUCGCUUGGUAUUGGGCAACGCGGUCCGCCGCGUGCCUCAAAUCGUCCGGCUGGGUCUUCUGUCCCCUAAGCGUUGUGGAAACUAUUCGCUAAAGGGUGUUCGGGAGGCUACGCCGUAAAACAACCCCAUUUCUAAGGUUGACCUCGGAUCAGGUAGGGAUACCCGCUGAACUUAAGCAUAUCAAUAAGCGGAGGA